CUAAUGCUUCACAGCCACAAUUUUUGUUCAUCGCUCUGUUCUUCUCCAAUCGAUUCAAACCCUAAUUAGCCUCCCUCACAUUUAUCGCUCUACUGCUAUCAUCAUCAUCUUCUGCAAAUGAUUCAACAAAUAGGUACACUCUUUGACAAACCCUAAAUAUCAACACGUCUGUUCUUCUUCUACGUUGAUUCAUCAUCCAGAAUUUAUAGCCUUGGAUUCAGAUCGAGUUUUGCUUUUCAAUCGAUUAUACACUCCAAAUGCUUAGGGUUUUCCAAUCCUUCAUUUCCGUUUUACAUUGCAGUCGCCUGUUCUUCUCCAUCUUCAAAUCUUCGAUCUUCAUAUGCAUACACAAAAUUGAACAAGAUUUUGCUGUUCUUAAUUCCGAGUAGAUUUAUAAAGAUUUGUAAGAUUACAAGAAUCAAAUGAUAGGUGUUGGGAAUCGAAAAUACAACAAUCCAACAUGGAGCCAUCUGCUAUUACUAAGUCCUUUCUCGUGUUAACUCAUCCAAUUAUAUCUUUAAUGAUCUUAUUGUGAUUCAUUGAUUUGGUGAUAACUUCAUUUGAUACGUUACAUACCCGUAGGUAGAGGGAUGGGUUCCAUCAAGUACGCAGCGAAUUCACUCCAACCUUCUCUCUGAAGUCCCAUGGCUCUUUGAAAACUGAAGCACCAAAGUUGUUGAUUUUCACUCCAGAUGAUUCAUUAUUAAACUUUGAUGUUGUCAUCUCCAUCUAGCGAUUAACAACCGGCAUCACAACAUCAAAGUUGUUGAUUUGAAGGUCAUCGUGUAGAUACCGACAUCUCAUAAUGCUAUUUUAGGGAAACCAAAUUCAAGUACUACAGAAUAUGUCAAUGGAGAAGAAAUCAGUGAACCAACGGAAAACGUAAUCUCUGAACAACAACGGUCAGCAAAGAUUCAUGAUUUUUGUUUCGUUCUUCCAUAUGGUGGCAUUGUUCUCAGUGGCGGACUUAUCAGUUUUAUUUUCUCAAGAAACAUUGCAUCUUUAAUGACAGGUGGACUCUAUGGUGGUGCUUUGCUGGCAUUUAGCGUAUUAAGCUUGAAAAUUUGGAAACGGUGGUUCAUUCUUAGACAAUUAGGAAUUGCUGCUGCACUCCUCUAGAAGAAUAUUCAAACUUAUUCACUGACAAAGAAGAUAUUGCCAACUGGAUUCCAUAUUGUUUUAAGAUUACUUCUUCGGUUGUGAAGAUCGGGUGAUUUUGGAAUAAGAAGUCUGGGCUGAGAUUCGUUUCGCUUGAGUGUCUCUCGAUUGCGGCUUCUUUUGAGCUACAAUGUAGUUUAGUUACUCUUCUAUUGGUUUGGGGCUCGGCUUCUCUCAAGUAAUAGAAAAUGGCAAGAUUGCUGGGAGUAUUACAGGAGUCUCGGCUGUCAGUGUAGCUAAUAAGUUAUGGCUAACUUUUCAAGCACUUGGAGACAUAGCAUUCACGUAUCCAUGAAACUUUUGGUAUACACAUAUUAAAGGAUACUGUGAAAUCACCACCAGCAGAAAACAAUAUUACUAAACGGGCUUCAGCAAUUGCUAUGCUUGUGACGGCUAUUUUCUAUCUCGGGUGUGGAUGUUUCGGGUAUGUUGCAUUUGGAAACACCAGGAAACCUCUUGACGGGAUUCGGGUUGUAUGAAUUGUAUUGGCUUAUCGGCUUUGCUAAUGCGUGCAUUUUUAUAUAUUUGCUAGGAGGAUAUCAGUGGACUCAAUCAAGCUGCAACCAUUAAGCAAGGAAGAAUUGCUGCAUACGGACUUUUUGAGAUAAUUAGUUUCUCAUCCUGCACCGCUGAUCACAAUAGAAAAACACUUGAUGUGAAGAAGCUGGUAAACUUCCGAGAAGGCGACCGAACUCCAGGUUCUACUACAGGCGGGUUGAUAUUUGCUUCUUUCUUCCUGUGUUUAUGACCCAUGUGAAGGUUCCAAAAGAGGAGAUGCAAAGUUAAAAGUCUAUGACAUAGGAAGUAUAAAAAAGGCAUUGAAGAAUCCAAAUGGUGGGACAAUGAAAAAUGAUAAGGUUGAAGAAGCUAAAAUAACUUCAUAAUCAUCUUCAAGAAUUUCAAAAUGAUAAGAUGCCUAUUUACGUCCUAUUUCUUUUGGAUCCUGCAAAUUCACUUGCAUAUAAGAAACAGGUUACAAAAGACCACACCCGACGCAGCUAUACCACAAGUCUCUUGGGAAAUGCUUGAGUUUUCAAUGUGUUUCGACUAUAAUUAUAUGUAGUGUAGAAUUUAUAAGAAAAAAAUGGAGAUUUGUUAAUUGUUAUGGUAUUGCAUACGAUUACCUGUGCGUGUGUUUGGUUUUUUUAAACCAAGCAUCUUGUGUGGGGUACAAGGAUUGUGUGGGGUACAAGGACUGGGACUCCAUUACUGGCUUUCUUGAUAUGCGAUGAAUGUUGUAAAUUAAACUUAGCAUCAAAUAAAGAAACAUUGAUAUUUAUUAUUA
Molecule: long non-coding RNA, 2443 nt
Organism: Helianthus annuus (common sunflower)
Lineage: Eukaryota; Viridiplantae; Streptophyta; Magnoliopsida; Asterales; Asteraceae
Exons: 15
Source: RefSeq, a predicted model, not a curated record